Molecule: ribosomal RNA, 484 nt
Filed under: uncultured bacterium
Lineage: Bacteria
Description: partial 16S ribosomal RNA
Rfam family: Bacterial small subunit ribosomal RNA
Source: RNAcentral
AUUGAACGCUGGCGGCAGGCCUAACACAUGCAAGUCGAGCGGAUGAAGGGAGCUUGCUCCUGGAUUCAGCGGUGGACGGGUGAGUAAUGCCUAGGAAUCUGCCUGGUAGUGGGGGAUAACGUCCGGAAACGGGCGCCAAUACCGCAUACGUCCUGAGGGAGAAAGUGGGGGAUCUUCGGACCUCACGCUAUCAGAUGAGCCUAGGUCGGAUUAGCUAGUUGGUGGGGUAAAGGCCUACCAAGGCGACGAUCCGUAACUGGUCUGAGAGGAUGAUCAGUCACACUGGAACUGAGACACGGUCCAGACUCCUACGGGAGGCAGCAGUGGGGAAUAUUGGACAAUGGGCGAAAGCCUGAUCCAGCCAUGCCGCGUGUGUGAAGAAGGUCUUCGGAUUGUAAAGCACUUUAAGUUGGGAGGAAGGGCAGUAAGUUAAUACCUUGCUGUUUUGACGUUACCAACAGAAUAAGCACCGGCUAACUUCGUG